Molecule: ribosomal RNA, 346 nt
Filed under: uncultured bacterium
Lineage: Bacteria
Description: partial 16S ribosomal RNA
Rfam family: Bacterial small subunit ribosomal RNA
Source: RNAcentral
CCUACGGGCGGCAGCAGUGAGGAAUAUUGGACAAUGGACGCAAGUCUGAACCAGCCAUGCCGCGUGCAGGAUGAAGGCUCUAUGAGUGGUAAACUGCAUUUGUAGGAGGGUAAACCACGAUACGUGUAUAGGGUUGAACGUAUCGUACGAAUAAGGAUAGGCUAACUCCGCGCCAGCAGCAGCGGUAAUACGGAGGAUCCGGGCGUUAUCCGGAUUUAGUGGGUUUAAAGGGGGCGUAGGCGGUUUGGCAAGUUAGAGGUGAAAUGUCGGGGCUCAACCCCGAAACUGCCUCUCAUACUGUUGGACUAGAUCGUAGUUGCGGUAGGCGGAAUGUCUGGUGUCGCGG